This 300-nucleotide ribosomal RNA is filed under the name uncultured Mesonia sp. Its description in RNAcentral is "bacterial SSU rRNA". It matches the Rfam family "Bacterial small subunit ribosomal RNA", at positions 496 to 795 of the family's 1533-position model. Lineage: Bacteria; Pseudomonadati; Bacteroidota; Flavobacteriia; Flavobacteriales; Flavobacteriaceae. The record is from RNAcentral.
GCUAACUCCGUGCCAGCAGCCGCGGUAAUACGGAGGAUCCGAGCGUUAUCCGGAAUCAUUGGGUUUAAAGGGUCUGUAGGCGGGCUAAUAAGUCAGCGGUGAAAGUCUGUCGCUUAACGAUAGAAUUGCCGUUGAUACUGUUGGUCUUGAGUCAUUAUGAAGUGGUUAGAAUGAGUAGUGUAGCGGUGAAAUGCAUAGAUAUUACUCAGAAUACCGAUUGCGAAGGCAGAUCACUAAUAAUGUACUGACGCUGAGGGACGAAAGCGUGGGGAGCGAACAGGAUUAGAUACCCUGGUAGUC